This 253-nucleotide ribosomal RNA is filed under the name uncultured bacterium. Its description in RNAcentral is "partial 16S ribosomal RNA". It matches the Rfam family "Bacterial small subunit ribosomal RNA", at positions 524 to 776 of the family's 1533-position model. The record is from RNAcentral.
UACGUAGGCAGCGAGCGUUGUUCGGAAUUACUGGGCGUAAAGAGUGUGUAGGCGGUGCUCUAAGUUCGGUGUGAAAGCCCCCGGCUCAACCGGGGAACUGCACGGGAAACUGGAAGGCUUGAGUUCGGGAGAGGGAAGCGGAAUUCCGGGUGUAGCGGUGAAAUGCGUAGAUAUCCGGAGGAACACCGGUGGCGAAGGCGGCUUCCUGGACCGACACUGACGCUGAGGCGCGAAAGCUAGGGGAGCAAACGGG